This 321-nucleotide non-coding RNA is filed under the name Trichinella sp. T9. RNAcentral describes it as "Eukaryotic small subunit ribosomal RNA". It matches the Rfam family "Eukaryotic small subunit ribosomal RNA", at positions 1502 to 1829 of the family's 1831-position model. The record is from Rfam by way of RNAcentral. Lineage: Eukaryota; Metazoa; Nematoda; Enoplea; Trichinellida; Trichinellidae.
AUUGUCAGAACAUGUCGUAGUACAGGAAUUGAAAUGCCAGACAGCCCAAAAUUUUACGUACAAGCGCGAAAAAAUGAUACGGUUUCCCUUGAACGAGGAAUUCCCAGUAAGCGUGAGUCAUUAGCUCGCGUUGAUUACGUCCCUGCCCUUUGUACACACCGCCCGUCGCUACUACCGAUUGGAUGAUUUAGUGAGGUGUUUUGACUGGUGCCAGUAGUCGGAUGUAUUCGCCUUCGCGCCGGGAAAUUUCCCAAACCAAAUCAUCUAGAGGAAGUAAAAGUCGUAACAAGGUUUCCGUAGGUGAACCUGCGGAAGGAUCAU